Drosophila nasuta is the source of this 429-nucleotide long non-coding RNA. RefSeq lists it as uncharacterized. The transcript has 2 exons. The record is from RefSeq and is a predicted model, not a curated record. NCBI's taxonomy places the organism in Eukaryota, Metazoa, Arthropoda, Insecta, Diptera, Drosophilidae.
UUCUGAGGGUCGUGCUUUUCAUUAUUGCGUUAUAGCUAUUCGACACAGUUCUUGGGAAACAGAACGAAAACAAUAACAAUGAUUGCCUCUAAAGUGUUAAAGAGAGAGAACAAUAUUUGAAAUGUUUAAAACUAUAUAGUGCAGUAACUGGAGUUUUUUUGUCGCACGAAUAUCGAAAAUGAGAGACACGUCAUCUGUCAAUUUCACCCAACAAGUUUUUAUAUGACUAACUCUGUCGUUAGGCAAAGUCGCUACGCUAAAAUAAGUCAUUAAGAAAGCAAAUAACUGAAAAUAUUACGUUAGUAAUACUAUAACAUUGGUAUUUAAGUAAUGCAAUUCGAGCAGACAUUUUUCAAAUUGCAUGACUGUAGAACAGCUGAGAACAAUAAAGCAAAUACUAUAUGUAUAUUUGUGUGUGUGUGUGUGUGU